This 496-nucleotide ribosomal RNA is filed under the name uncultured bacterium. Its description in RNAcentral is "partial 16S ribosomal RNA". It matches the Rfam family "Bacterial small subunit ribosomal RNA", at positions 28 to 506 of the family's 1533-position model. The record is from RNAcentral.
GAUGAACGCUGGCGGCGUGCCUAAUACAUGCAAGUCGAGCGAACAGACGAGGAGCUUGCUCCUCUGACGUUAGCGGCGGACGGGUGAGUAACACGUGGAUAACCUACCUAUAAGACUGGGAUAACUUCGGGAAACCGGAGCUAAUACCGGAUAAUAUAUUGAACCGCAUGGUUCAAUAGUGAAAGACGGUUUUGCUGUCACUUAUAGAUGGAUCCGCGCCGCAUUAGCUAGUUGGUAAGGUAACGGCUUACCAAGGCGACGAUGCGUAGCCGACCUGAGGGGGUGAUCGGCCACACUGGAACUGAGACACGGUCCAGACUCCUACGGGAGGCAGCAGUAGGGAAUCUUCCGCAAUGGGCGAAAGCCUGACGGAGCAACGCCGCGUGAGUGAUGAAGGUCUGCGGAUCGUAAAACUCUGUUAUUAGGGAAGAACAAAUGUGUAAGUAACGAUGCACGUCUUGACGGUACCUAAUCAGAAAGCCACGGCUAACUACGU